GAUGAACGCUGGCGGCGUGCCUAAUACAUGCAAGUCGAGCGAACGGACGAGAAGCUUGCUUCUCUGAUGUUAGCGGCGGACGGGUGAGUAACACGUGGAUAACCUACCUAUAAGACUGGUAUAACUUCGGGAAACCGUAGCUAAUCCCGGAUAAGAUUUUGAACCGUAUGGUUCAAAAGUGAAAGACGGUCGUGCGGUAACUUAUAGAUGGAUAUGCGCUGCAUUAGAUAGUUGUGAAGGUAACGGCCUACUAAGGCAACUAGGCAUAGACGACCGGAGAGGCUGAUAGGCCACCCUGGAGCGGAGCCAGGGUCCAGACGACUACGGGACGCAGCAGUCGGCAAUCUGACGCAAUGGGCGAAAGCAUGGCGGAGCAAGGGCGCGCGAGUGAUGACGGUCUCCGGAUCGUAAAACUCUGUUAUUAGGGAAGAACCUAUGUGUCCGUAACCGUGGCGAGCGUGACGGUAAUUAAUAAGAAAGCAACGGCUAACUACGUG
This 497-nucleotide ribosomal RNA is filed under the name uncultured bacterium. RNAcentral describes it as "partial 16S ribosomal RNA". It matches the Rfam family "Bacterial small subunit ribosomal RNA", at positions 28 to 507 of the family's 1533-position model. The record is from RNAcentral.